GCCCUCGUAGCUCAUUGGAUAGAGCAGGGUUUUGGCGAAAUCCCAGGUAGAAGGUUCGAUCCCUUCCGAGGGCU
RNAcentral lists this transfer RNA (74 nucleotides) under Caldilineaceae bacterium. RNAcentral describes it as "tRNA-Ala". It matches the Rfam family "tRNA". Rfam says of the family: Transfer RNA (tRNA) molecules are approximately 80 nucleotides in length. Their secondary structure includes four short double-helical elements and three loops (D, anti-codon, and T loops). The record is from RNAcentral. Lineage: Bacteria; Bacillati; Chloroflexota; Caldilineae; Caldilineales; Caldilineaceae.